This is a long non-coding RNA of Oncorhynchus tshawytscha (Chinook salmon), 2143 nucleotides long. NCBI's taxonomy places the organism in Eukaryota, Metazoa, Chordata, Actinopteri, Salmoniformes, Salmonidae. The record is from Ensembl.
GGGGGAACAGGAGCACUGUUUUUCAAAGUAGCUCAUCUCGAGACAGGCUAUUUCCACGAUGAGCGCAUCGGCCAUCACCGUGAGUGGUAGCCUAUGGCUUCAACUUCAUCAUUAGGUGAGUCACUGUGCCACUGGCUAUGUUAUUUAGUAUCCUAUGAUAUAUAUACUGUAUACUGUAUAUUGCCUCCUAAAAUAUUAUAGAAUCUGUGUGUCGCUUCAUUGGCCUGGGCUAAUGGGGCGGCAGGGUAGCCUAGUGGUUAGAGUGUUGGACUAGUAACCGGAAGGUUGCAAGUUCAAACCCCUGAGCUGACAAGGUACAAAUCUGUCGUUCUGCCCCUGGACGAGACAGUUAACCCACUGUUCCUUAGGCUGUCAUUGAAAAUAAGAAUUUGUUCUUAACUUGCCUGGUUAAAUAAAGGUUAAGGUUUUUUUUUUUUAAGUUUUUUUUUUUAAAUGUGUGUUUGAAUUCAAGACUAGAUUGAUCUCAGUUUGUCAGUCAGAUUAGCCACUCAUUUCAGUGUUAUUAAAACAGAUUCAGCUAAUGCCUUCUGUCAUGUAAAUUACAUCUUUUUUUAAAGGCUUUUUGUUUUUCAGACCCAACAACAACAACAACAACAACAACAACAACAACAACAACAACAACAACAACAACAACAACAAAAAAUCCCAUGUGUGGAUAUCCUAGAAACGCCUCUGCUCAUCUGUAGCCUAUAUCACAUGGCACAUGUUAUUAUGGCUUUAUUGUAAACGGUCUUUUUCUUCGACAGUACAUUUACAAUGGGCAUCUUGGUGCAGGGAUUUGUUUACCGCAAAAAUUAUGGUGUGCCAGGAAACCAAAAGCCCCGGGGCCUAAAUUUUCUUAAUCCGGCCCUGCUGAUGGGAACCCGUGAUGUCAUUGGCCUCCCCCCAUAGAAUUAGGAAUUUAAUAGGAUCUCUAUGCUCACUCUUUUGCCUGAAGAACAAUAGAGGAGCAAUAGUGCUAUGUCUAGUGCUAUGUCUAGUGCUAUGUCUAGUGCUAUGUCUAGUGCUAUGUCUAUGUCUAGUGCUAUGUCUAGUGCUAUUGCUAUGUCUAGUGCUAUGUCUAUGUCUAGUGUUAUGUCUAGUGCUAUUGCUAUGUCUAGUGCUAUGUCUAGUGCUAUGUCUAGUGCUAUUGCUAUGUCAUACCUGGACCACCUAUUGAGACCUUUUUGUUUAAGUAAAUCUGGUGUUAAAGGAGACUGGAGUGCCACUUUAAAGGGUGUCUAUUCACUCAUCUACGAGGUUUGGGUGGGUAGAGGUAGAAGGCUCAUUAUAAUACUGUAGCGUCCCUAGGAGGACAUCACCUAACCACCUGGUCAAGAGGUUUGGUCCUCUUGGUGUAAGGUGUUGGAGUGACCAAGUCAGAGACUCAGGUUUGAGUCAUACCAUAUAGACAUAGCAUAAUCCAUUUUUUAAGGAAGGGAGACAAGUAUAUUUGGCUUUGGGACAGAGAAAGUGUGUUUUCUGAGAAGAGGCGUGAUGUGUUGAUGGCAGGGAAAGGGUUAAGGAUGGGCAUUCCACAAUAGGCUGCAGGCCAGGCAGCCAAUCAGCAUGCAGAACAGAUCUUCCAGAGCCCUGAUUGGCUGCUGGGUGGCCCCGUUGUCCUGACGAUGGGAAUCAGGUCCUGUCUAUGUGGUCUGUAUCCAGGCACUGGGGAAGUAUUCUGCUGGAAGAGAGAGGGAGGAAGAGAAACACUGAACAACCGGUUCUCUCUCUAUGUCUCUCUCUCUGUCUCUCUAUGUCUCUCUCUCUCUGUCUCUCUCUCUCUGUCUCUCUCUCUGUCUCUCUCUCUCUCUAUGUCUCGCUCUCUAUGUCUCUCUCUCUAUGUCUCUCUCUCUCUGUCUCUCUCUCUCUGUCUCUCUCUCUCUAUGUCUCUCUCUCUAUGUCUCUCUCUCUAUGUCUCUCUCUCUCUCUAUGUCUCUCUCUCUCUGUCUCUCUCUCUCUCUCUGUCUCUCUCUCUCUCUCUCUCUCUGUCUCUCUCUCUAUGUCUCUCUCUCUCUCUCUCUCUAUGUCUCGCUCUCUAUGUCUCUCUCUCUAUGUCUCUCUCUCUCUGUCUCUCUCUCUCUGUCUCUCUCUCUCUAUGUCUCUCUCUCUAUGUCUCUCUCUCUAUGUCUCUCUCUCUCUC